Molecule: ribosomal RNA, 726 nt
Filed under: uncultured bacterium
Lineage: Bacteria
Description: bacterial SSU rRNA
Rfam family: Bacterial small subunit ribosomal RNA
Source: RNAcentral
GCUGGCGGCAGGCCUAACACAUGCAAGUCGAACGGAGUUAUAUUGUAGCUUGCUAUGGUAUAACUUAGUGGCAGACGGGUGAGUAAUGUAUAGGAAUCUACCUAGUAGUACGGAAUAAUUGUUGGAAACGGCAACUAAUACCGUAUACGCCCUACGGGGGAAAAAUUUAUUGCUAUUAGAUGAGCCUAUAUUAGAUUAGCUAGUUGGUGGAGUAAUAGCCUACCAAGGCAAUGAUCUAUAGCUGAUCUGAGAGGAUGAUCAGCCACACUGGAACUGAGAUACGGUCCAGACUCCUACGGGAGGCAGCAGUGGGGAAUAUUGGACAAUGGGCGAAAGCCUGAUCCAGCCAUGCCGCAUGAGUGAAGAAGGCCUUUGGGUUGUAAAGCUCUUUUAGUGAGGAAGAUAAUGACGGUACUCACAGAAGAAGUCCUGGCUAACUCCGUGCCAGCAGCCGCGGUAAUACGGAGAGGGCUAGCGUUAUUCGGAAUUAUUGGGCGUAAAGGGCGCGUAGGCGGAUUAGUAAGUUAAAAGUGAAAUCCCAAGGCUCAACCUUGGAAUUGCUUUUAAAACUGCUAAUCUAGAGAUUGAAAGAGGAUAGAGGAAUUCCUAGUGUAGAGGUGAAAUUCGUAAAUAUUAGGAGGAACACCAGUGGCGAAGGCGUCUAUCUGGUUCAAAUCUGACGCUGAGGCGCGAAGGCGUGGGGAGCAAACAAGAUUAGAUACCCUG